AACUUUUAACAACGGAUCUCUUGGUUCUGGCAUCGAUGAAGAACGCAGCGAAAUGCGAUAAGUAAUGUGAAUUGCAGAAUUCAGUGAAUCAUCGAAUCUUUGAACGCACAUUGCGCCCCCUGGCAUUCCGGGGGGCAUGCCCGUUCGAGCGUC
RNAcentral lists this ribosomal RNA (153 nucleotides) under uncultured fungus. RNAcentral's name for it is "5.8S ribosomal RNA". It matches the Rfam family "5.8S ribosomal RNA". From Rfam's summary of the family: 5.8S ribosomal RNA (5.8S rRNA) is a component of the large subunit of the eukaryotic ribosome. It is transcribed by RNA polymerase I as part of the 45S precursor that also contains 18S and 28S rRNA. Functionally, it is thought that 5.8S rRNA may be involved in ribosome translocation. The record is from RNAcentral. Lineage: Eukaryota; Fungi.